Molecule: small nuclear RNA, 62 nt
Organism: Gorilla gorilla gorilla (western lowland gorilla)
Lineage: Eukaryota; Metazoa; Chordata; Mammalia; Primates; Hominidae
Gene: U7
Rfam family: U7 small nuclear RNA
About the family: Animal histone pre-mRNAs are spliced by a different mechanism than nuclear pre-mRNAs and self-splicing introns.
Source: Ensembl
GAGUGUUACAGCUCUUUUAGAAUUUUUCUAGUAGGCUUUCCGGUAAAGACCAGAAAGCCUAU